UGGCUCAGAACGAACGCUGGCGGCAGGCCUAACACAUGCAAGUCGAGCGAACCCUUCGGGGUUAGCGGCGGACGGGUGAGUAACGCGUGGGAACGUGCCCUUUGCUACGGAAUAGCCCCGGGAAACUGGGAGUAAUACCGUAUGUGCCCUUCGGGGGAAAGAUUUAUCGGCAAAGGAUCGGCCCGCGUUGGAUUAGGUAGUUGGUGGGGUAAUGGCCUACCAAGCCGACGAUCCAUAGCUGGUUUGAGAGGAUGAUCAGCCACACUGGGACUGAGACACGGCCCAGACUCCUACGGGAGGCAGCAGUGGGGAAUCUUAGACAAUGGGCGCAAGCCUGAUCUAGCCAUGCCGCGUGAUCGAUGAAGGCCUUAGGGUUGUAAAGAUCUUUCAGUGGGGAAGAUAAUGACUGUACCCACAGAAGAAGCCCCGGCUAACUCCGUG
Molecule: ribosomal RNA, 441 nt
Filed under: uncultured bacterium
Lineage: Bacteria
Description: bacterial SSU rRNA
Rfam family: Bacterial small subunit ribosomal RNA
Source: RNAcentral